Molecule: ribosomal RNA, 301 nt
Filed under: uncultured bacterium
Lineage: Bacteria
Description: partial 16S ribosomal RNA
Rfam family: Bacterial small subunit ribosomal RNA
Source: RNAcentral
CAGUCGCCGCGGUAAUGCGUAGGUGGCAAGCGUUGUCCGGAAUUAUUGGGCGUAAAGCGCGCGCAGGUGGUUUAAUAAGUCUGAUGUGAAAGCCCACAGCUCAACCGUGGAGGGUCAUUGGAAACUGUUAAACUUGAGUGCAGGAGAGAAAAGUGGAAUUCCUAGUGUAGCGGUGAAAUGCGUAGAGAUUAGGAGGAACACCUGUGGCGAAGGCGGCUUUUUGGCCUGUAACUGACACUGAGGCGCGAAAGCGUGGGGAGCAAACAGGAUUAGAUACCCCUGUAGUCCCUGUCUCUUAUAC